UGGGAGUGAAAGCAUGCAUCAUCAUGC
This 27-nucleotide unclassified non-coding RNA is filed under the name Mus musculus (house mouse). Its description in RNAcentral is "oocyte_clustered_small_RNA1542". Lineage: Eukaryota; Metazoa; Chordata; Mammalia; Rodentia; Muridae. The record is from RNAcentral.